RNAcentral lists this long non-coding RNA (436 nucleotides) under Coturnix japonica (Japanese quail). RNAcentral describes it as "lncRNA (ENSCJPG00005004182.1)". Lineage: Eukaryota; Metazoa; Chordata; Aves; Galliformes; Phasianidae. The record is from RNAcentral.
UUAUUUUUUGCUUCUCCCCCAGCCCCCAUUAUGAUUCAUAAUUUGAUUUCUUUGCAGGUGCCCCUGGUCCAGGCUUCCCAGCCUGUGUGCUGCUCUGAGAGAUUCACUACUGCUUUUAUAGAAGAGAGAAAAUGAGGGUGCAGCAGAAGAGCCGAAGCCAGAGGAAAUGGAAAGACGUGAGCUCUCCUUUUUUAGAAACAGUGGCUUGGCUCCCCAACUGGUCAUAAAUCCAGGUCUCUGCAGUGGAUCUAUUCUGAUUUACACCAGAGGAAAAUCUGGCCUCUAGCUGAGAAGAAAUGGGCUGCCAGUUUAAUUACUUCAUCCCAGGUUAAAAUCUAACAAACCCUUUUGGAAACCUUGCCACAUUUCCUCCAGUCAAGAACAAAUAGUAUUUUGCCAGGAAUUCACCAGCCAUCCAAGCCAGCUGAUGGCUCCA